Small nuclear RNA from Vulpes vulpes (red fox), 105 nucleotides. NCBI's taxonomy places the organism in Eukaryota, Metazoa, Chordata, Mammalia, Carnivora, Canidae. The record is from Ensembl.
GUGCUUACUUCAGCAGCGCAUAUACUAAAAUUGGAACAAUACAGAGAAUAUUAGCGUGGCUCCUUCGUAAGGAUGACACACAAAUAUUAUGUUUAUGAAAUUUAA